This 477-nucleotide ribosomal RNA is filed under the name Candidatus Brocadia fulgida. Its description in RNAcentral is "bacterial SSU rRNA". It matches the Rfam family "Bacterial small subunit ribosomal RNA", at positions 365 to 832 of the family's 1533-position model. The record is from RNAcentral. Lineage: Bacteria; Pseudomonadati; Planctomycetota; Candidatus Brocadiia; Candidatus Brocadiales; Candidatus Brocadiaceae.
UUCGCAAUGCCCGAAAGGGUGACGAAGCGACGCCGCGUGCGGGAAGAAGGCCUUCGGGUUGUAAACCGCUGUCGGGAGUUAAGAAAUGCAAGGGUGUUAACAGCAUCUUUGCUUGACUAAGGCUCCGGAGGAAGCCACGGCUAACUCUGUGCCAGCAGCCGCGGUAAUACAGAGGCGGCAAGCGUUGUUCGGAAUUAUUGGGCGUAAAGAGCACGUAGGCGGCUGUGUAAGUCGGUUGUGAAAGCCUUCCGCUCAACGGGAGAACGGCAUCCGAUACUGCAUGGCUUGAGUGCGGGAGGGGAGAGUGGAACUUCUGGUGGAGCGGUGAAAUGCGUAGAUAUCAGAAGGAACGCCGGCGGCGAAAGCGACUCUCUGGCCCGUAACUGACGCUGAGUGUGCGAAAGCUAGGGGAGCAAACGGGAUUAGAUACCCCGGUAGUCCUAGCCGUAAACGAUGGGCACUAAGUAGAGGGGUUUU